UACGUAGGUGGCAAGCGUUGUCCGGAUUUAUUGGGCGUAAAGCGCGCGCAGGUGGUGCGGUAAGUCUGCCGGUGAAAUCUCCCGGCUCAACUGGGAGGGGCGGUGGAGACUGCCGGACUGGAGGGACUCAGAGGCCGGUGGAAUUCCCGGUGUAGUGGUGAAAUGCGUAGAGAUCGGGAGGAACACCAGUGGCGAAGGCGGCCGGCUGGGGGUGCCCUGACGCUGAGGCGCGAAAGCGUGGGGAGCGAACCGGG
This 254-nucleotide ribosomal RNA is filed under the name uncultured bacterium. RNAcentral describes it as "partial 16S ribosomal RNA". It matches the Rfam family "Bacterial small subunit ribosomal RNA", at positions 524 to 777 of the family's 1533-position model. The record is from RNAcentral.